This 73-nucleotide transfer RNA is filed under the name Hypsibius dujardini. It matches the Rfam family "tRNA". Rfam says of the family: Transfer RNA (tRNA) molecules are approximately 80 nucleotides in length. Their secondary structure includes four short double-helical elements and three loops (D, anti-codon, and T loops). RNAcentral also lists the same sequence under 1 other name. Lineage: Eukaryota; Metazoa; Tardigrada; Eutardigrada; Parachela; Hypsibiidae. The record is from Rfam by way of RNAcentral.
GUUCCCAUAGUAUAGCGGUCAUCACGUCUGUGUAACAAGAAGAAGGUCAUCGGUUCAAUUCCGGCUGAGAACA